Homo sapiens (human) is the source of this 2923-nucleotide long non-coding RNA. RefSeq annotates it as Pvt1 oncogene. The record is from RefSeq and is marked reviewed. NCBI's taxonomy places the organism in Eukaryota, Metazoa, Chordata, Mammalia, Primates, Hominidae. The transcript is spliced from 15 exons.
CCCGCGCUCCUCCGGGCAGAGCGCGUGUGGCGGCCGAGCACAUGGGCCCGCGGGCCGGGCGGGCUCGGGGCGGCCGGGACGAGGAGGGGCGACGACGAGCUGCGAGCAAAGAUGUGCCCCGGGACCCCCGGCACCUUCCAGUGGAUUUCCUUGCGGAAAGGAUGUUGGCGGUCCCUGUGACCUGUGGAGACACGGCCAGAUCUGCCCUCCAGAUUUAUUAGGAGAAAAACCUUCCCGGAAGCUGCAGAAGGACAAAUACAGAAUCCGUGUCUGGGAGAAACCUCGUGGCCUGGUCUCCAUUAUUUGAGAUGAGUUACAUCUUGGAGGCCUGAUCUUUUGGCCAGAAGGAGAUUAAAAAGAUGCCCCUCAAGAUGGCUGUGCCUGUCAGCUGCAUGGAGCUUCGUUCAAGUAUUUUCUGAGCCUGAUGGAUUUACAGUGAUCUUCAGUGGUCUGGGGAAUAACGCUGGUGGAACCAUGCACUGGAAUGACACACGCCCGGCACAUUUCAGGAUACUAAAAGUGGUUUUAAGGGAGGCUGUGGCUGAAUGCCUCAUGGAUUCUUACAGCUUGGAUGUCCAUGGGGGACGAAGGACUGCAGCUGGCUGAGAGGGUUGAGAUCUCUGUUUACUUAGAUCUCUGCCAACUUCCUUUGGGUCUCCCUAUGGAAUGUAAGACCCCGACUCUUCCUGGUGAAGCAUCUGAUGCACGUUCCAUCCGGCGCUCAGCUGGGCUUGAGCUGACCAUACUCCCUGGAGCCUUCUCCCGAGGUGCGCGGGUGACCUUGGCACAUACAGCCAUCAUGAUGGUACUUUAAGUGGAGGCUGAAUCAUCUCCCCUUUGAGCUGCUUGGCACGUGGCUCCCUUGGUGUUCCCCUUUUACUGCCAGGACACUGAGAUUUGGAGAGUCUCUUCACCCUCUGAAAACAAGAGGAUGUGUAGCAUAGUGAGCAACAGCUGUGUGCCGGGGACUCAGCAUUAAGUAGCAUGGGAUUACUCAUGACUUCGCACUCAUGGCAGCCUCACAGAGUCUCACUCUGUGGUCCAGGCUGAAGUACAGUGGCAUGAUCCCAGGUCACUGCAACCCCCACCUCCCGGGUUCAAGUGAUCCUCCUGCCUCAGCCUCCCGAGUAGCUGGUAUUACAGGCGUGUGCCACAAAGCCUGGCUAAGUUUUGUAUUUUUAGUAGAGACGGGGUUUCACCAUGUUGGCCAGGUUGGUCUCGAACUCCUGACCUCAAGUGAUCCACUCACUUUGGCCUUUCAACGUGCUGGGAUUACAGGCGAGAGUCACCGCACCCGGACGACUCUGACAUUUUUGAAGAGUCCAGAAUCCUGUUACACCUGGGAUUUAGGCACUUUCAAUCUGAAAAAAUACAUAUCCUUUCAGCACUCUGGACGGACUUGAGAACUGUCCUUACGUGACCUAAAGCUGGAGUAUUUUGAGAUUGGAGAAUUAAGGCCUUCAGUGGGUUGAAUGAGGCCCAACCCACAUUGAAGAGGACCAUCUGCUUUACUCAGUCUCCUGGUUGAAGUGAUAAUCUCAUCUGGACAUACUCAGAAAUGCUGUUUAACCAGCUCUCUGGAAAUCCUGUGGCCCAGUCAAGUUGACACACAAAAUUAACCAUCACACUGCAGAGACACAGUCUAUCCCAAUACCUGUAUUUACUGGGUAACGUGCAUCUCAGCUCACCAGGCUGGUUUGAUUGACUUGGCCCAAAGCUGCCCUUUGAGUGUUGAGCCCCAGCUGACCCCUUUGAUCCUUCACAGCCCCAUCAUUAAAACAAGGACCCUGAAUCAAGUGACUAAGGAAGUCACUGUGCAUAGCCAUCCCCUAAGAAGAGGGCAUUCCUGCUCUUCCUUCUCCAUGGCUAGAGGAUCUACAUGAACUAUUUAGAUUUUUUCUACCUGGGAGAUUUAACUCCUCUCUCCUAUUUAUUUAUUUAUAUAUCAGCAUGGACUUGCAGGCCAACAGAGAUUUUGAGAAACACAUUGAAGGAUCUGUUAACACUUGAUAUACCCAAUAAAAGCAGUGGUUGUGCCAGUGCUGAUCUGUCUUGAUGUGAAUGUGAACAAUGGGAACCUGAGCUGAGCAGUUAAUGCUAGGGUGACAGAAACUGGACCUCUCCCAAGACAUGUGACAGAGUAAUACAGCAGCCAACUUCUUCGCCAAAUUAAAGUUUUACAAGAUUUAACCUGUCAUCAAGACCUGGGAUUUUGGUGAGCCAGUCUUGGUGCUCUGUGUUCACCUGGUUCAUCUGAGGAGCUGCAUCUACCCUGCCCAUGCCAUAGAUCCUGCCCUGUUUGCUUCUCCUGUUGCUGCUAGUGGACAUGAGGUAACCACAGCCUAGUUCUGUGAUAAGCUCUUCACACCUGUACCCAUAUGGACUGUGGGAGAGUUUCUCUGAUAUGGACUGUGAUGCGGGUCACCCGAUAUAGAAUCACACACCUGGGAGAUGGCACCAGCCAGUGAGGCUCAAAUUUGAACCACACACAAAUCUCCAGGGGUACUUGAAGGACAGAAUAACGGGCUCCCAGAUUCACAAGCCCCACCAAGAGGAUCACCCCAGGAACGCUUGGAGGCUGAGGAGUUCACUGAGGCUACUGCAUCUUGAGACUCAGGAUGAAGACCCAGCUUGGGGCUGUCAAAGGUUUUUUGCAUGUCUGACACCCAUGACUCCACCUGGACCUUAUGGCUCCACCCAGAAGCAAUUCAGCCCAACAGGAGGACAGCUUCAACCCAUUACGAUUUCAUCUCUGCCCCAACCACUCAGCAGCAAGCACCUGUUACCUGUCCACCCCCACCCCUUCCCCCAAACUGCCUUUGAAAAAUCCCUAACCUAUGAGCUUUGAAUAAGAUGAGUACGAACUUCAUCGCCCACGUGGCGUGGCCGGCCUCGUGUCUAUUAAAUUCUUUUUCUACUACAA